This 253-nucleotide ribosomal RNA is filed under the name uncultured bacterium. RNAcentral's name for it is "partial 16S ribosomal RNA". It matches the Rfam family "Bacterial small subunit ribosomal RNA", at positions 524 to 776 of the family's 1533-position model. The record is from RNAcentral.
UACAGAGGUCUCAAGCGUUGUUCGGAUUCAUUGGGCGUAAAGGGUGUGUGGGUGGCGCCGUAAGUGGGGUGUGAAAUCUCGGGGCUUAACUCCGAAACUGCAUUCCAUACUGCGGUGCUUGAGGACUGGAGAGGAGACUGGAAUUCAUGGUGUAGCAGUGAAAUGCGUAGAGAUCAUGAGGAAGACCAGUGGCGAAGGCGGGUCUCUGGACAGUUCCUGACACUGAGACACGAAGGCCAGGGGAGCAAACGGG